GAACGGGAGGCUUGCUUGCUCCAGUGAAGGAGGAAGCCAAGCUUCCCGCCUUCCCUGGCCAGCUCUGGCCUCCGCUCAAGGCAACAAAGUUUCAAUUAUAGAAGACAAAUAAACCCCAGA
Myotis brandtii (Brandt's bat) is the source of this 120-nucleotide long non-coding RNA. RefSeq lists it as uncharacterized. The record is from RefSeq and is a predicted model, not a curated record. Lineage: Eukaryota; Metazoa; Chordata; Mammalia; Chiroptera; Vespertilionidae. The transcript has 2 exons.